CCUACGGGGGGCAGCAGUGGGGAAUAUUGCGCAAUGGGCGAAAGCCUGACGCAGCGACGCCGCGUGAGGGAUGAAGGUCUUCGGAUCGUAAACCUCUGUCAGCAGGGAAGAACGGUCACUGUGCUAAUCAGCAGUGAAUUGACGGUACCUGCAAAGGAAGCACCGGCUAACUCCGUGCCAGCAGCCGCGGUAAUACGGAGGGUGUGAGCGUUAAUCGGAAUUACUGGGCGUAAAGCGCUCGUAGGCGGUAUGUCAAGUCAAGGGGGAAAUCCCCGCGCUCAACGUGGGAACUGCCUUUGAAACUGGCAAACUGGAGUGUGUGAGAGGAGAGUGGAAUUCCAGGUGUAGGAGUGAAAUCCGUAGAUAUCUGGAGGAAUAUCAGUGGCGAAGGCGACUAUCUGGCACAUAACUGACGCUGAGGAGCGAAAGCGUGGGUAGCAAACAGGAUUAGAUACCCCAGUAGUC
RNAcentral lists this ribosomal RNA (465 nucleotides) under uncultured bacterium. RNAcentral describes it as "partial 16S ribosomal RNA". It matches the Rfam family "Bacterial small subunit ribosomal RNA", at positions 338 to 795 of the family's 1533-position model. The record is from RNAcentral.